UACAGAGGGUGCGAGCGUUAAUCGGAAUUACUGGGCGUAAAGCGUGCGUAGACGGUUAUUUAAGUCGGGUGUGAAAGCCCCGGGCUCAACCUGGGAACCGCGCUUGAGACUGGAGAACUAGAGUUCGGGAGAGGAUGGUGGAAUUCCCAGUGUAGAGGUGAAAUUCGUAGAUAUUGGGAAGAACACCGAUGGCGAAGGCAGCCAUCUGGACCGACACUGACGCUGAGGAGCGAAAGCGUGGGGAGCGAACAGG
Molecule: ribosomal RNA, 253 nt
Filed under: uncultured bacterium
Lineage: Bacteria
Description: partial 16S ribosomal RNA
Rfam family: Bacterial small subunit ribosomal RNA
Source: RNAcentral